UCCGGCUUAUCACCGGCAGUUUCUUUAGAGUGCUCAACUAAAUGGUAGCAACUAAAGACGAGGGUUGCGCUCGUUGCGGGACUUAACCCAACAUCUCACGACACGAGCUGACAACAGCCAUGCAGCACCUGUGUGGGAAGCUCCCUUGCGGGAGAAGGACGAUCUCUCGUCCGGGCUUCCCCAUGUCAAGCCUUGGUAAGGUUCUUCGCGUUGCGUCGAAUUAAACCACAUGCUCCACCGCUUGUGCGGGCCCCCGUCAAUUCCUUUGAGUUUUAAUCUUGCGACCGUACUCCCCAGGCGGGGCACUUAAUGCGUUAGCUGCGGCACCCAGGGGGUCAAUACCCCGGACACCUAGUGCCCAUCGUUUACGGCGUGGACUAC
Molecule: unclassified non-coding RNA, 381 nt
Filed under: uncultured bacterium
Lineage: Bacteria
Description: contains 16S-23S intergenic spacer region
Source: RNAcentral